UUUAUUCAAAUUCAAACUUAAAAUUACAAUUUAAAUUCUAAUUUGAAUCCAUAAAUUUAAUUUAAGUUUUAAAUAAAAUUUGAAUAAAACUUUAUAUAAAUUAAAAGUUAAUUUAAAUUCAAAUUUAUAAGUUAGAUUUGAAAUACUUGAUUAAAUUUUAAUUUUUAAUUCAAGUUCAUAUUAAAAUUUAAAAUCAUAUAUUUAAUUUCUAAAUUUAAACUUAUAUUUUAAUUAAAAAAGUUGAAAAAAUAAAUUUAAUUCGAAUAAAUAUCCAUUCCUUCCGAAUUCACCUUCUAAUCCGGCU
This 304-nucleotide long non-coding RNA is filed under the name Ananas comosus (pineapple). RNAcentral describes it as "long non-coding RNA (ACOM_LNC003758)". Lineage: Eukaryota; Viridiplantae; Streptophyta; Magnoliopsida; Poales; Bromeliaceae. The record is from RNAcentral.